This is a long non-coding RNA of Oreochromis aureus, 390 nucleotides long. NCBI's taxonomy places the organism in Eukaryota, Metazoa, Chordata, Actinopteri, Cichliformes, Cichlidae. The record is from Ensembl.
CUGUGCGACGGAGUGGGCCCCCGCGGCUGCUUCCACUGCUGUCGGGGGAGGCUCAAACGGCAACCCUGAGCCUGCCGCUGGCCUCACCGGGGCAGCUUCGAUGACGUCAGCCAGGCCGUGUUGGACCGGAUGGGCCUCGCCCCGGAAGAUCAUCGCCAGCGGUUCCGUGCCCGCAAGCUGACUGGGGAGGAUCGGCCAUUCGCGUGGGCUUGCAAGCUCCACGAUGCGGCGGUGCAUUGCUGGAGGCAGAGUGGGUGGAGACCGAAUCCCCUGUACACAUAUACUGACUCAGAGGAUGAGCAGCCUACAAAAAAACGGUUUUCCCAGGCCCCUCGAGUGAAAAUACCAGUCCGCCCCCCAGCCCACUGAUAGCAACCAUCAUAAUGCCCC